RNAcentral lists this ribosomal RNA (500 nucleotides) under uncultured bacterium. RNAcentral describes it as "bacterial SSU rRNA". It matches the Rfam family "Bacterial small subunit ribosomal RNA", at positions 9 to 507 of the family's 1533-position model. The record is from RNAcentral.
CGAGUUUGAUCCUGGCUCAGGAUGAACGCUAGCGGCAGGCCUAACACAUGCAAGUCGAGGGGUAUAGGGAGCUUGCUUCCUAGAGACCGGCGCACGGGUGCGUAACGCGUAUGCAAUCUACCUUGUACAGGGGAAUAGCCCAGAGAAAUUUGGAUUAAUGCCCCAUAGUAUUAUUAAAUGGCAUCCUUUAAUAAUUAAAGUUCCAACGGUACAAGAUGAGCAUGCGUCCUAUUAGUUAGUUGGUGUGGUAUCGGCAUACCAAGACGAUGAUAGGUAGGGGUCCUGAGAGGGAGAUCCCCCACACGGGUACUGAGACACGGACCAGACUCCUACGGGAGGCAGCAGUGAGGAAUAUUGGACAAUGGGCGCAAGCCUGAUCCAGCCAUGCCGCGUGCAGGAAGACGGUCCUAUGGAUUGUAAACUGCUUUUAUACAGGAAGAAACACUGGUUCGUGAACCAGCUUGACGGUACUGUAAGAAUAAGGAUCGGCUAACUCCGUG